This 245-nucleotide ribosomal RNA is filed under the name uncultured bacterium. RNAcentral's name for it is "partial 16S ribosomal RNA". It matches the Rfam family "Bacterial small subunit ribosomal RNA", at positions 563 to 807 of the family's 1533-position model. The record is from RNAcentral.
AAGCGCGCGCAGGCGGUCCUUUAAGUCUGAUGUGAAAGCCCACGGCUCAACCGUGGAAGGUCAUUGGAAACUGGGGGACUUGAGUGCAGAAGAGGUUAGUGGAAUUCCAAGUGUAGCGGUGAAAUGCGUAGAGAUUUGGAGGAACACCAGUGGCGAAGGCGACUAACUGGUCUGUAACUGACGCUGANGCGCGAAAGCGUGGGGAGCAAACAGGAUUAGAUACCCUGGUAGUCCACGCCGUAAAC